GACGAACGCUGGCGGCGUGCUUAACACAUGCAAGUCGGACGGAAAGGCCUCUUUCGGGGGGUACUCGAGUGGCGAACGGGUGAGUAACACGUGAGUAACCUGCCCUUGACUUUGGGAUAACUUCAGGAAACUGGGGCUAAUACCGGAUAGGAGCUCCUGCUGCAUGGUGGGGGUUGGAAAGUUUCGGCGGUUGGGGAUGGACUCGCGGCUUAUCAGCUUGUUGGUGGGGUAGUGGCUUACCAAGGCUUUGACGGGUAGCCGGCCUGAGAGGGUGACCGGCCACAUUGGGACUGAGAUACGGCCCAGACUCCUACGGGAGGCAGCAGUGGGGAAUAUUGCACAAUGGGUGGAAGCCUGAUGCAGCAACGCCGUGUGCGGGAUGACGGCCUUCGGGUUGUAAACCGCUUUCGCUCAUGACGAAGCUUUGUGUGACGGUAGUGGGUAAAGAAGCACCGGCUAACUACGUG
Molecule: ribosomal RNA, 467 nt
Filed under: uncultured bacterium
Lineage: Bacteria
Description: partial 16S ribosomal RNA
Rfam family: Bacterial small subunit ribosomal RNA
Source: RNAcentral